RNAcentral lists this long non-coding RNA (147 nucleotides) under Mus spicilegus (steppe mouse). RNAcentral's name for it is "lncRNA (ENSMSIG00000010993.1)". Lineage: Eukaryota; Metazoa; Chordata; Mammalia; Rodentia; Muridae. The record is from RNAcentral.
UCAACUGGAUUUAGAAGACUCUCGACCUGGUCUCCAUCAUCCGUGGGUUGUCUUUCCAUCUCCCAGCCGCUCUUCCACCUGGAGGUGAAACCAGAGCUUCUGCCUGCAUGGAACAAGAGCAAGAGAAAGAUACUCACCGAAGUCUAC